Molecule: transfer RNA, 72 nt
Filed under: Chloroflexota bacterium
Lineage: Bacteria; Bacillati; Chloroflexota
Also listed under: 3 other names
Description: Chloroflexi bacterium tRNA-Lys
Rfam family: tRNA
About the family: Transfer RNA (tRNA) molecules are approximately 80 nucleotides in length. Their secondary structure includes four short double-helical elements and three loops (D, anti-codon, and T loops). Further hydrogen bonds mediate the characteristic L-shaped molecular structure. tRNAs have two regions of fundamental functional importance: the anti-codon, which is responsible for specific mRNA codon recognition, and the 3' end, to which the tRNAs corresponding amino acid is attached (by aminoacyl-tRNA synthetases). tRNAs cope with the degeneracy of the genetic code in two manners: having more than one tRNA (with a specific anti-codon) for a particular amino acid; and 'wobble' base-pairing, i.e. permitting non-standard base-pairing at the 3rd anti-codon position.
Source: RNAcentral
GGGCCAGUAGCUCAGCGGUAGAGCAGGAGACUCUUAAUCUCUUGGUCGUGGGUUCGAAUCCCUCCUGGCUCA